Molecule: unclassified non-coding RNA, 349 nt
Filed under: soil metagenome
Description: partial contains 5.8S ribosomal RNA, internal transcribed spacer 2, and large subunit ribosomal RNA
Rfam family: 5.8S ribosomal RNA (bases 1-120)
Source: RNAcentral
GAUGAAGAACGCAGCGAAAUGCGAUAAGUAAUGUGAAUUGCAGAAUUCAGUGAAUCAUCGAAUCUUUGAACGCACAUUGCGCCCGCUGGUAUUCCGGCGGGCAUGCCUGUUCGAGCGUCAUUUCAACCCUCAAGCCCCCGGGUUUGGUGUUGGGGAUCGGCUCUGCCCUUCUGGGCGGUGCCGCCCCCGAAAUACAUUGGCGGUCUCGCUGCAGCCUCCAUUGCGUAGUAGCUAACACCUCGCAACUGGAACGCGGCGCGGCCAUGCCGUAAAACCCCAACUUCUGAAUGUUGACCUCGGAUCAGGUAGGAAUACCCGCUGAACUUAAGCAUAUCAAAUAAGCGGAGGA